Molecule: ribosomal RNA, 346 nt
Filed under: uncultured bacterium
Lineage: Bacteria
Description: bacterial SSU rRNA
Rfam family: Bacterial small subunit ribosomal RNA
Source: RNAcentral
AAUGAACGUUGGCGGCGUGGAUUAGGCAUGCAAGUCGCGCGACAAGGAACCUUCGGGUUCUGGAGGAGCGGCAAACGGGGUAGUAAGGCAUCGGAACGUACCCUCUUGUUGGGAAUAGCCGCGGGAAACUGCGAGUAAUGCCCAAUAAUCCCUACGGGGCAAAGGUCCGCCGCAGGAGGAGCGGCCGAUGUGAUACCAGCUAGUUGGUGAGGUAAUGGCUCACCAAGGCUUAGACGUCUAGGGGGUGUGAGAGCAUGGCCCCCACCACUGGACGUNAGAUACUGCCCACGACACCUACCGGGUGGGCUGCAGUCGAGAAAUCUUCGGCGAAUAGGGCGGCAAGACC